CCUGAUGCAGCGACGCCGCGUGAGGGAUGACGGCCUUCGGGUUGUAAACCUCUUUCAGCAGGGACGAAGCGCAAGUGACGGUACCUGCAGAAGAAGCACCGGCUAACUACGUGCCAGCAGCCGCGGUAAUACGUAGGGUGCAAGCGUUGUCCGGAAUUACUGGGCGUAAAGAGUUCGUAGGCGGUUUGUCGCGUCGUUUGUGAAAACCAGCAGCUCAACUGCUGGCUUGCAGGCGAUACGGGCAGACUUGAGUACUGCAGGGGAGACUGGAAUUCCUGGUGUAGCGGUGAAAUGCGCAGAUAUCAGGAGGAACACCGGUGGCGAAGGCGGGUCUCUGGGCAGUAACUGACGCUGAGGAACGAAAGCGUGGGUAGCGAACAGGAUUAGAUACCCUGGUAGUCCACGCCGUAAACGGUGGGCGCUAGGUGUGGGUUCCUUCCACGGAAUCCGUGCCGUAGCUAA
This 462-nucleotide ribosomal RNA is filed under the name Rhodococcus sp. enrichment culture. RNAcentral's name for it is "bacterial SSU rRNA". It matches the Rfam family "Bacterial small subunit ribosomal RNA", at positions 382 to 855 of the family's 1533-position model. Lineage: Bacteria; Bacillati; Actinomycetota; Actinomycetes; Mycobacteriales; Nocardiaceae. The record is from RNAcentral.